AAGCCACGCAGAAGCAUUGGCUAAUGGAACUAGUCUGGUGGACCCCAUUGUAUGGGUGAAGUUGUGUGAAAGGUGGGGCAGCGAUGCCUUCAAGAAAAUUUCAGCUCAAAAUCGGGAGAACCGAAACAAGCAGGCCAUUAAUCACACAUCAGGACGUAAAUCAUUCGUCCGAUUACUUGAGCAAAAGCGCAAUGAGAAUGAGAAUUUGGUCGACUUCUACAAAGAGACGCGUUGGUCGAAGAAAAAGAAUGCAUUUGUCACAGAUGCUA
Molecule: long non-coding RNA, 269 nt
Organism: Juglans microcarpa x Juglans regia
Lineage: Eukaryota; Viridiplantae; Streptophyta; Magnoliopsida; Fagales; Juglandaceae
Exons: 3
Source: RefSeq, a predicted model, not a curated record